RNAcentral lists this RNase P RNA (378 nucleotides) under Brachybacterium endophyticum. Its description in RNAcentral is "Bacterial RNase P class A". It matches the Rfam family "Bacterial RNase P class A". Rfam says of the family: Ribonuclease P (RNase P) is a ubiquitous endoribonuclease, found in archaea, bacteria and eukarya as well as chloroplasts and mitochondria. Its best characterised activity is the generation of mature 5'-ends of tRNAs by cleaving the 5'-leader elements of precursor-tRNAs. The record is from Rfam by way of RNAcentral. Lineage: Bacteria; Bacillati; Actinomycetota; Actinomycetes; Micrococcales; Dermabacteraceae.
CCAGUCGGCCGGGCAGUCGCGUCCCCGUGCGCAUCCUCGUGGUGCGCCGCGGGGCCGAGGAAAGUCCGGGCUCCUUCCGGCACGGUGGUGGGUAACGCCCACCCGGAGCGAUCCGCGGGACAGUGCCACAGAGAGCAGACCGCCGGCCCGUGACCUCGCGUCGCAGGGCCGGUAAGGGUGAAAGGGUGGUGUAAGAGACCACCGCGGUCCCGGUGACGGGACCGGCAGGGUAAACCCCACCGGGAGCAAGGCCAGACAGGGGACGCACGCAGGUCGCCGGACCGAGUCCCCGGGUAGGCCGCUGGAGAUCGUCGGCAACGGCGAUCCGAGAGGGAUGACUGCCGAUCACAGAACCCGGCUUACAGGCCGACUGGUCCG